CCUACGUGGUGCAGCAGUGAGGAAUAUUGGUCAAUGGGCGCGAGCCUGAACCAGCCAAGUAGCGUGAAGGAUGACUGCCCUACGGGUUGUAAACUUCUUUUAUAAAGGAAUAAAGUGAGGCACGUGUGCCUUUUUGUAUGUACUUUAUGAAUAAGGAUCGGCUAACUCCGUGCCAGCAGCCGCGGUAAUACGGAGGAUCCGAGCGUUAUCCGGAUUUAUUGGGUUUAAAGGGAGCGUAGAUGGGUUGUUAAGUCAGUUGUGAAAGUUUGCGGCUCAACCGUAAAAUUGCAAUUGAUACUGGCAGUCUUGAGUACAGUUGAGGUAGGCGGAAUUCGUGGUGUAGCGGUGAAAUGCUUAGAUAUCACGAAGAACUCCGAUUGCGAAGGCAGCUUACUAAACUGCCACUGACAUUGAUGCUCGAAAGUGUGGGUAACAAACAGGAUUAGAUACCCUAGUAGUC
This 460-nucleotide ribosomal RNA is filed under the name uncultured bacterium. Its description in RNAcentral is "partial 16S ribosomal RNA". It matches the Rfam family "Bacterial small subunit ribosomal RNA", at positions 338 to 795 of the family's 1533-position model. The record is from RNAcentral.